RNAcentral lists this ribosomal RNA (688 nucleotides) under uncultured bacterium. RNAcentral describes it as "bacterial SSU rRNA". It matches the Rfam family "Bacterial small subunit ribosomal RNA", at positions 140 to 826 of the family's 1533-position model. The record is from RNAcentral.
GGGACAACCCGCCGAAAGGCGGGCUAAACCCGCGUACAUGCCACCGGGGCAUCCCGGAGGCAGGAAAGGCUUCGGCCGGACAGGGAUGGGCAUGCGGCGCAUUAGGCAGUAGGCGGGGUAACGGCCCACCUAACCGACGAUGCGUAGGGGUUCUGAGAGGAAGGUCCCCCACACUGAUACUGAGACACGGACCAGACUCCUACGGGAGGCAGCAGUGAGGAAUAUUGGUCAAUGGUCGGGAGACUGAACCAGCCAAGCCGCGUGAGGGAUGAAGGUACAGAGUAUCGUAAACCUCUUUUGUCAGGGAACAAAGGCGGGGACGUGUCCCCGGAUGAGUGUACCUGAAGAAAAAGCAUCGGCUAACUCCGUGCCAGCAGCCGCGGUAAUACGGAGGAUGCGAGCGUUAUCCGGAUUUAUUGGGUUUAAAGGGUGCGCAGGCGGUCUGUUAAGUCAGCGGUCAAAGCCCGGGGCUCAACCCCGGCCCGCCGUUGAAACUGGCAGUCUCGAGUUGGAGAGAAGUAUGCGGAAUGCGCGGUGUAGCGGUGAAAUGCAUAGAUAUCGCGCAGAACUCCGAUUGCGAAGGCAGCAUGCCGGCUCCACACUGACGCUGAGGCACGAAAGCGUGGGUAUCGAACAGGAUUAGAUACCCUGGUAGUCCACGCAGUAAACGAUGAAUGCAGGCUGUCCG